UUUUUUUUUUUUUUUUUUUUUUUUUUUUACUAC
RNAcentral lists this non-coding RNA (33 nucleotides) under Prorocentrum micans. The record is from RNAcentral. Lineage: Eukaryota; Dinophyceae; Prorocentrales; Prorocentraceae.